Amphilophus citrinellus (Midas cichlid) is the source of this 99-nucleotide small nucleolar RNA. The record is from Ensembl. NCBI's taxonomy places the organism in Eukaryota, Metazoa, Chordata, Actinopteri, Cichliformes, Cichlidae.
CUGCAGUGAUGAGCCUCAGCUAGAUUGAUCUGGUAUUGCUUCCCUCUGGGGAGAGCUCUGACCAGGGAAUGAUCUCAGCUUAAUCUUCUCUCUGAGCAG